AUUGAACGCUAGCGGGAUGCUUUACACAUGCAAGUCGAACGCGUGGAGGACGGGUGAGUAAUAUAUCGGAACGUGACCAGUAGCGGGGGAUAACUAAUCGAAAGAGUGGCUAAUAACGCCUACUAUUGGGGCGGCCGAUAUCGGAUUAGCUAGUUGGUGGGGUAAAGGCUACCAAAGGCAACGAUCCCUAGCUGGUUUGAGAGGACGACAAGCCACACUGGGACUGAGACACGGCCCAGACUCCUACGGGAGGCAGCAGUGGGGAAUUUUGGACAAUGGGGGAAACCCUGAUCCAGCCAUCACGCGUGUAUGAGAAGGCCUUCGGGUUGUAAAGUACUUUUUGCAGAGAAGCGGUAUCUGCAGAAUAAGCACCGGCUAACUACGUGCCAGCAGCCGCGGUAAUUC
RNAcentral lists this ribosomal RNA (405 nucleotides) under uncultured bacterium. Its description in RNAcentral is "partial 16S ribosomal RNA". It matches the Rfam family "Bacterial small subunit ribosomal RNA", at positions 30 to 526 of the family's 1533-position model. The record is from RNAcentral.